RNAcentral lists this long non-coding RNA (211 nucleotides) under Elaeis guineensis (African oil palm). Its description in RNAcentral is "long non-coding RNA (EGUI_LNC007607)". The record is from RNAcentral. Lineage: Eukaryota; Viridiplantae; Streptophyta; Magnoliopsida; Arecales; Arecaceae.
CUUCAACUUUCUAAUAACAAAUCGGAUGGUGAAUUCUUUAGAUUCAAUUUGCUCUCUACUGGAUUGCCCUCAAAUCUUAGUCAUCUCACAUAAGUUGUCAUCCAAUACUAGCACGAUGUCCACAAAUAAUCUCACAUAUCCUUCAUUCCAUAUCUUAAUUCCAUAAAUUGGGUUUGGAAGAGCUAGCUGUCAUGCCUUGAACCCAGCACCU